RNAcentral lists this ribosomal RNA (492 nucleotides) under uncultured bacterium. RNAcentral's name for it is "partial 16S ribosomal RNA". It matches the Rfam family "Bacterial small subunit ribosomal RNA", at positions 29 to 507 of the family's 1533-position model. The record is from RNAcentral.
AGUGAACGCUGGCGGUAGGCCUAACACAUGCAAGUCGAACGGCAGCACAGUAAGAGCUUGCUCUUACGGGUGGCGAGUGGCGGACGGGUGCGGAAUACAUCGGAAUCUACUUUUUCGUGGGGGAUAACGUAGGGAAACUUACGCUAAUACCGCAUACGACCUACGGGUGAAAGCAGGGGAUCUUCGGACCUUGCGCGAUUGAAUGAGCCGAUGUCGGAUUAGCUAGUUGGCGGGGUAAAGGCCCACCAAGGCGACGAUCCGUAGCUGGUCUGAGAGGAUGAACAGCCACACUGGAACUGAGACUCGGUCCAGACACUUAGGGUAGGAAGCAGUGGGGAAUAUUGGACGAUGGAGCCAAGCCGGAUCCAGCCAUACCGCGUGGGUGAAGAAGGCCUUCGGGUGGGAAAGCCCUUUUGUUGUGAAGGAAAAGCAGCAGGUUAAUACCCCGCUGUUCUGACGGUACCCAAAGAAUAAGCACCGGCUAACUUCGUG